AUUGAACGCUGGCGGCAUGCUUUACACAUGCAAGUCGAACGGCAGCGCGGGGCAACCUGGCGGCGAGUGGCGCACGGGUGAGUAAUAUAUCGGAACGUACCCAGAAGUGGGGGCUAACGUAGCGAAAGUUACGCUAAUACCGCAUACGAUCUACGGAUGAAAGUAGGGGACCGCAAGGCCUUAUGCUUUUGGAGCGGCCGAUAUCUGAUUAGCUAGUUGGUGAGGUAAAGGCUCACCAAGGCGACGAUCAGUAGCUGGUCUGAGAGGACGACCAGCCACACUGGAACUGAGACACGGUCCAGACUCCUACGGGAGGCAGCAGUGGGGAAUUUUGGACAAUGGGCGCAAGCCUGAUCCAGCAAUGCCGCGUGAGUGAAGAAGGCCUUCGGGUUGUAAAGCUCUUUUGUCAGGGAAGAAACGGUAGAGGCUAAUAUCCUUUGCUAAUGACGGUACCUGAAGAAUAAGCACCGGCUAACUACGUG
This 482-nucleotide ribosomal RNA is filed under the name uncultured bacterium. RNAcentral describes it as "partial 16S ribosomal RNA". It matches the Rfam family "Bacterial small subunit ribosomal RNA", at positions 30 to 507 of the family's 1533-position model. The record is from RNAcentral.